This 117-nucleotide non-coding RNA is filed under the name Chlorocebus sabaeus (green monkey). Lineage: Eukaryota; Metazoa; Chordata; Mammalia; Primates; Cercopithecidae. The record is from Rfam by way of RNAcentral.
GCUGGGCGUGGUGGCUCACGCCUGUAAUCCCAGCACCUUGAGAGGCCGAGGCAGGUGGAUCACUUGAGGUCAGGAGUUCGAGACCAGCCUGGCCAACAUGGUGAAACCCUGUCUCUA